RNAcentral lists this ribosomal RNA (165 nucleotides) under uncultured bacterium. RNAcentral's name for it is "partial 16S rRNA". It matches the Rfam family "Bacterial small subunit ribosomal RNA", at positions 355 to 511 of the family's 1533-position model. The record is from RNAcentral.
UAGGGAAUCUUCCACAAAUGGACGAAAGUCUGAUGGAGCAACGCCGCGUGAGUGAAGAAGGGUUUCGGCUCGUAAAACUCUGUUGUUAAAGAAGAACAUAUCUGAGAGUAACUGUUCAGGUAUUGACGGUAUUUAACCAGAAAGCCACGGCUAACUACGUGUCAG